UUUUCCCAUAACACGGUUUUAACAAUUGUAAUUUAUUGAUGGUCCCUAAGCUGACCCCCGGUGGUUAACAGCGAGGUAUCGGAGAUAUGGAUAUGCUCCAUAUGGCUUUUUCAAGAAAAUAGGCAUCUGUGGACCCACACCAUGGCCCUUUAUUGGGACAUUUUUGGAAUACAGAAAGGGCAUCCACAAUGUUGACACAGACUGCUUUCAGACAUAUGGAAAGGUGUGGGGGUUGUACGAUGGCAGGAAGCCUGUAAUGGGUAUAAUGGAC
Micropterus dolomieu (smallmouth bass) is the source of this 271-nucleotide long non-coding RNA. RefSeq lists it as uncharacterized. The record is from RefSeq and is a predicted model, not a curated record. NCBI's taxonomy places the organism in Eukaryota, Metazoa, Chordata, Actinopteri, Centrarchiformes, Centrarchidae. The transcript has 4 exons.